RNAcentral lists this ribosomal RNA (768 nucleotides) under Escherichia coli. RNAcentral describes it as "bacterial LSU rRNA". It matches the Rfam family "Bacterial large subunit ribosomal RNA", at positions 2180 to 2925 of the family's 2925-position model. The record is from RNAcentral. Lineage: Bacteria; Pseudomonadati; Pseudomonadota; Gammaproteobacteria; Enterobacterales; Enterobacteriaceae.
AUGGAGCCGACCUUGAAAUACCACCCUUUAAUGUUUGAUGUUCUAACGUGGACCCGUGAUCCGGGUUGCGGACAGUGUCUGGUGGGUAGUUUGACUGGGGCGGUCUCCUCCUAAAGAGUAACGGAGGAGCACGAAGGUUGGCUAAUCUUGGUCGGACAUCAGGAGGUUAGUGCAAUGGCAUAAGCCAGCUUGACUGCGAGCGUGACGGCGCGAGCAGGUGCGAAAGCAGGUCAUAGUGAUCCGGUGGUUCUGAAUGGAAGGGCCAUCGCUCAACGGAUAAAAGGUACUCCGGGGAUAACAGGCUGAUACCGCCCAAGAGUUCAUAUCGACGGCGGUGUUUGGCACCUCGAUGUCGGCUCAUCACAUCCUGGGGCUGAAGUAGGUCCCAAGGGUAUGGCUGUUCGCCAUUUAAAGUGGUACGCGAGCUGGGUUUAGAACGUCGUGAGACAGUUCGGUCCCUAUCUGCCGUGGGCGCUGGAGAACUGAGGGGGGCUGCUCCUAGUACGAGAGGACCGGAGUGGACGCAUCACUGGUGUUCGGGUUGUCAUGCCAAUGGCACUGCCCGGUAGCUAAAUGCGGAAGAGAUAAGUGCUGAAAGCAUCUAAGCACGAAACUUGCCCCGAGAUGAGUUCUCCCUGACUCCUUGAGAGUCCUGAAGGAACGUUGAAGACGACGACGUUGAUAGGCCGGGUGUGUAAGCGCAGCGAUGCGUUGAGCUAACCGGUACUAAUGAACCGUGAGGCUUAACCUUACAACGCCGAAGCUGUU